UGGGGAAUUUUCCGCAAUGGGCGAGAGCCUGACGGAGCAAUGCCGCGUGGAGGUGGAAGGCCUACGGGUCGUCAACUUCUUUUCUCGGAGAAGAAACAAUGACGGUAUCUGAGGAAUAAGCAUCGGCUAACUCUGUGUCAG
Molecule: ribosomal RNA, 141 nt
Filed under: uncultured bacterium
Lineage: Bacteria
Description: partial 16S rRNA
Rfam family: Bacterial small subunit ribosomal RNA
Source: RNAcentral